CCAGCCCGGGUCCAAUUUAAUAACAUGUAAAUCAGUUGGGUUUCUAAAAACAUCUUAGUUUCCUAAUCCUCUUCACGCCUCCUUCUGAAAUAAAGAUCCCAUUCAUCAAGUCUAGCUUCCUUCGAUUGAUGCUCUGGGUGAUCAAGUUGUGCCUCCAUUAUCGUGGUUUUCUUGCAAAAAUUGGCUUACAGAAGUAAGUCACGCCUCCUUUUCUUUGUUUAGCUAUUAGCUUCUUCAGUUUACUUGAAUAUUGAUGCUUCACCUGCUGAAGUUGAGUUCUUCAGUAGAUGGGACAUUGAGAAGCUUUUUAUUCAUCUAAGAGGGAUCUAGUCAUCUGUGUUAUGCUGUUACAUUCGAUCCAUAGAUAUGGUAGGGAUGAAGACAAUGGGAUGCUUGGACCCACGAGUAUUCGGUUAACAACCUCAAUCCUAGGUUUAUUAAGCUCCAACUGACCAAUAGACCCUCCCAUGAUGCUGAGAGUCCUUUUUGUUGGUUGUAUUAGCUUAGGCUAGUUAGUACAUGCACUCUUUUUUAUGCUUCUGUGGAAUGUACAGAUGUUGCAUGUAAACUAUUUAGCUUGAUUCUCUUCCUACCUCUUAUCCUUUUAAUGGUGUAAUUCUCAAGUAUGGACUCUGCCAUUUAUCACUAUUUAGGAUGGUUAUUCCUCUUUUCUCUAGUUGCUGAAAACUUGUAAUAGUGAAUGCUCUUGUAUCUAUGGCUAUGUUUGCAAGAUGAUCAACUAACUGGUUACCCUCUCUGUAAA
Long non-coding RNA from Capsicum annuum, 763 nucleotides. RefSeq lists it as uncharacterized. Lineage: Eukaryota; Viridiplantae; Streptophyta; Magnoliopsida; Solanales; Solanaceae. The transcript has 2 exons. The record is from RefSeq and is a predicted model, not a curated record.